This 503-nucleotide ribosomal RNA is filed under the name uncultured bacterium. Its description in RNAcentral is "partial 16S ribosomal RNA". It matches the Rfam family "Bacterial small subunit ribosomal RNA", at positions 30 to 523 of the family's 1533-position model. The record is from RNAcentral.
AUUGAACGCUGGCGGCAGGCUUAACACAUGCAAGUCGAGCGGGGUGAUGGUGCUUGCACUAUCACUUAGCGGCGGACGGGUGAGUAAUGCUUAGGAAUCUGCCUAUUAGUGGGGGACAACAUCUCGAAAGGGAUGCUAAUACCGCAUACGUCCUACGGGAGAAAGCAGGGGAUCACUUGUGACCUUGCGCUAAUAGAUGAGCCUAAGUCGGAUUAGCUAGUUGGUGGGGUAAGGGCCUACCAAGGCGACGAUCUGUAGCGGGUCUGAGAGGAUGAUCCGCCACACUGGGACUGAGACACGGCCCAGACUCCGACGGGAGGCAGCAGUGGGGAAUAUUGGACAAUGGGGGGAACCCUGAUCCUGCCAUGCCGCGUGUGUGAAGAAGGCCUUAUGGUUGUAAAGCACUUUAAGCGAGGAGGAGGCUCUUUUGGUUAAUACCCAAGAUGAGUGGACGUUACUCGCAGAAUAAGCACCGGCUAACUCUGUGCCAGCAGCCGCCGCGG